This 467-nucleotide ribosomal RNA is filed under the name uncultured bacterium. RNAcentral describes it as "partial 16S ribosomal RNA". It matches the Rfam family "Bacterial small subunit ribosomal RNA", at positions 29 to 507 of the family's 1533-position model. The record is from RNAcentral.
ACGAAUGCUGGCGGCGUGCUUAACCCAUGCAAGUCGCACGGAAAGGCCCUGCUUUUGUGGGGUGCUCGAGUGGCGAACGGGUGAGUAACACGUGAGUAACCUGCCCUUGACUUUGGGAUAACUUCAGGAAACUGGGGCUAAUACCGGAUAGGAGCUCCUGCUGCAUGGUGGGGGUUGGAAAGUUUCGGCGGUUGGGGAUGGACUCGCGGCUUAUCAGCUUGUUGGUGGGGUAGUGGCUUACCAAGGCUUUGACGGGUAGCCGGCCUGAGAGGGUGACCGGCCACAUUGGGACUGAGAUACGGCCCAGACUCCUACGGGAGGCAGCAGUGGGGAAUAUUGCACAAUGGGCGGAAGCCUGAUGCAGCAACGCCGCGUGCGGGAUGACGGCCUUCGGGUUGUAAACCGCUUUCGCCUGUGACGAAGCGUGAGUGACGGUAAUGGGUAAAGAAGCACCGGCUAACUACGUG